AACGGCGAGUGAAGCGGGCAAAAAGCUCAAAUUUGAAAUCUGGCUCCUUUGGGGCCCGAGUUGUAAUUUGCAGAGGAUGCUCGGGGCGUGGCCGCGGUCUAAGUCCCCUGGAACGGGGCGUCGCAGAGGGUGAGAAUCCCGUCUUCGGCCGGCCGGCUUCGCCCAUGUGAAGCUCCUUCGACGAGUCGAGUUGUUUGGGAAUGCAGCUCUAAAUGGGUGGUAAAUUUCAUCUAAAGCUAAAUAUUGGUCGGAGACCGAUAGCGCACAAGUAGAGUGAUCGAAAGAUGAAAAGCACUUUGAAAAGAGAGUUAAACAGCAUGUGAAAUUGUUGAAAGGGAAGCGCUUGCGACCAGAGUCGGCCGUGGGGGUUCAGCGGGCAUUCGUUGCCCGUGCACUCCCCCACGGGCGGGCCAGCGUCGGUUUCGACGGCCGGUCAAAGGCCCCCGGAAUGUGUCGCCUCUCGGGGCGUCUUAUAGCCGGGGGUGCAAUGCGGCCAGUCGGGACCGAGGAACGCGCUUCGGCACGGACGCUGGCUUAAUGGUCGUAAGCGACCCGUCUUGAAACACGGACCAAGGAGUCUAACAUCCACGCGAGUGUUCGGGUGUCAAACCCGUCCGCGCAGUGAAAGCGAACGGAGGUGGGAACCCUUAAGGGUGCACCAUCGACCGAUCCUGAAGUCUUCGGAUGGAUUUGAGUAAGAGCGUGGCUGUUGGGACCCGAAAGAUGGUGAACUAUGCCUGAAUAGGGUGAAGCCAGAGGAAACUCUGGUGGAGGCUCGCAGCGGUUCUGACGUGCAAAUCGAUCGUCGAAUUU
RNAcentral lists this ribosomal RNA (813 nucleotides) under [Emmonsia] crescens. RNAcentral describes it as "eukaryotic LSU rRNA". It matches the Rfam family "Eukaryotic large subunit ribosomal RNA", at positions 85 to 912 of the family's 3401-position model. The record is from RNAcentral. Lineage: Eukaryota; Fungi; Ascomycota; Eurotiomycetes; Onygenales; Ajellomycetaceae.